GAUGAACGCUGGCGGCGUGCUUAACACAUGCAAGUCGAACGGGAAUUACUUUUUAGCUUGCUAAGUUGUAAUUCUAGUGGCGGACGGGUGAGUAACGCGUGGGUAACCUGCCUUAUACCGGGGGACAACAGUUGGAAACGACUGCUAAUACCGCAUAAGCGCACGGGAAGGCAUCUUUCUGUGUGAAAAACUCCGGUGGUAUAAGAUGGACCCGCGUCUGAUUAGCCAGUUGGCGGUGUAACGGACCACCAAAGCGACGAUCAGUAGCCGGCCUGAGAGGGCAAACGGCCACAUUGGGACUGAGACACGGCCCAAACUCCUACGGGAGGCAGCAGUGGGGAAUAUUGCACAAUGGAGGAAACUCUGAUGCAGCGACGCCGCGUGAGUGAAGAAGUAUUUCGGUAUGUAAAGCUCUAUCAGCAGGAAAGAAAAUGACGUAC
RNAcentral lists this ribosomal RNA (440 nucleotides) under bacterium MD2006. RNAcentral describes it as "bacterial SSU rRNA". It matches the Rfam family "Bacterial small subunit ribosomal RNA", at positions 28 to 459 of the family's 1533-position model. The record is from RNAcentral.